GACAGAGGGUGCAAACGUUGCUCGGAUUUACUGGGCGUAAAGCGCAUGUAGGCGGGCGAUUAAGUCGGGGGUGAAAUCCCUGGGCUCAACCUAGGAACUGCAUCCGAAACUGAUCACCUUGAGUAGUGGAGAGGAAAGCGGAAUUCCGGGUGUAGAGGUGAAAUUCGUAGAUAUCCGGAGGAACACCAGUGGCGAAGGCGGCUUUCUGGACACUAACUGACGCUGAGAUGCGAAAGCGUGGGGAGCAAACAGG
RNAcentral lists this ribosomal RNA (253 nucleotides) under uncultured bacterium. Its description in RNAcentral is "partial 16S ribosomal RNA". It matches the Rfam family "Bacterial small subunit ribosomal RNA", at positions 524 to 776 of the family's 1533-position model. The record is from RNAcentral.